Molecule: ribosomal RNA, 406 nt
Filed under: uncultured bacterium
Lineage: Bacteria
Description: partial 16S ribosomal RNA
Rfam family: Bacterial small subunit ribosomal RNA
Source: RNAcentral
AUUGAACGCUGGCGGCAGGCCUAACACAUGCAAGUCGAACGAGUGGCGGACGGGUGAGUAAUGUCUGGGAAACUGCCUGAUGGAGGGGGCUAACUACUGGAAACGGUAGCUAAUACCGCAUACCAUCAGAUGUGCCCAGAGGGGAGUAGCUAGUUGGGGGGGUAACGGCUCACCAAGGGGACGAACCCUAGCUGGUCUGAGAGGAUGACCAGCACCGUUGGAACUGAGACACGGUCCAGCCUCCUACGGGAGGCAGCGGUGGGGAAUCUUGCACAAUGGGCGCAAGCCUGAUGGAGCCAUGCCGCGUGUAUGAAGAAGUCCUUCGGGUUGUAAAGUACUUUCAGCGGGGAGGCGUUACCCGACGAAGAAGCACCGGCUAACUCCGUGCCAGCAGCCGCGGUAAUUC